RNAcentral lists this ribosomal RNA (508 nucleotides) under uncultured bacterium. RNAcentral's name for it is "partial 16S ribosomal RNA". It matches the Rfam family "Bacterial small subunit ribosomal RNA", at positions 30 to 523 of the family's 1533-position model. The record is from RNAcentral.
AUUGAACGCUGGCGGCAUGCCUUACACAUGCAAGUCGAACGGCAGCGGGGGAGAAGCUUGCUUUUCCUGCCGGCGAGUGGCGAACGGGUGAGUAAUACAUCGGAACGUGCCCUGUAGUGGGGGAUAACUAGUCGAAAGAUUAGCUAAUACCGCAUACGACCUGAGGGUGAAAGUGGGGGACCGCAAGGCCUCAUGCUAUAGGAGCAGCCGAUGUCUGAUUAGCUAGUUGGUGGGGUAAAGGCCUACCAAGGCGACGAUCAGUAGCUGGGCUGAGAGGACGAUCAGCCACACUGGGACUGGGACACUGCCCAGACUCCUAAGGGAGGCAGCAGUGGGGAAUUUUGGACAAUGGGCGAGAGCCUGAUCCAGCAAUGCCGCGUGUGUGAAGAAGGCCUUCGGGUUGUAAAGCACUUUUGUCCGGAAAGAAAUGGCUCUGGUUAAUACCUGGGGUCGAUGACGGUACCGGAAGAAUAAGGACCGGCUAACUACGUGCCAGCAGCCGCCGUAA